GAAAUGUAGGCUGUUAUUGCAGAGGACAUGCAAAGGCUUGAAAGAAAUGAAGCCAGUAUGCUUUGCAGGAUGUGCAAUAUCAGUAUGCAUGUACAACAAAGUGUAAAUAUUUGGAGGGGGAAAUU
Molecule: long non-coding RNA, 125 nt
Organism: Octopus sinensis (East Asian common octopus)
Lineage: Eukaryota; Metazoa; Mollusca; Cephalopoda; Octopoda; Octopodidae
Exons: 3
Source: RefSeq, a predicted model, not a curated record